Molecule: ribosomal RNA, 468 nt
Filed under: uncultured bacterium
Lineage: Bacteria
Description: partial 16S ribosomal RNA
Rfam family: Bacterial small subunit ribosomal RNA
Source: RNAcentral
GACGAACGCUGGCGGCGUGCUUAACACAUGCAAGUCGAACGGAAAGGCCCUGCUUUUGUGGGGUGCUCGAGUGGCGAACGGGUGAGUAACACGUGAGUAACCUGCCCUUGACUUUGGGAUAACUUCAGGAAACUGGGGCUAAUACCGGAUAGGAGCUCCUGCUGCAUGGUGGGGGUUGGAAAGUUUCGGCGGUUGGGGAUGGACUCGCGGCUUAUCAGCUUGUUGGUGGGGUAGUGGCUUACCAAGGCUUUGACGGGUAGCCGGCCUGAGAGGGUGACCGGCCACAUUGGGACUGAGAUACGGCCCAGACUCCUACGGGAGGCAGCAGUGUGGAAUAUUGCACAAUGGGCGGAAGCCUGAUGCAGCAACGCCGCGUGCGGGAUGACGGCCUUCGGGUUGUAAACCACUUUCGCCUGUGACGAAGCGUGAGUGACGGUAAUGGGUAAAGAAGCACCGGCUAACUACGUG